GCGUCUCUGUAGCGGCGGAGAGCAGAUCGAAGAUAACAGAUUUAGCGUCUCUGUAGCGGCGGAGAGCAGAUCGAAGAUAGCAGAUUUGGCGUCUCUGUAAUUGUCAGAGGGCAGAUCGAAGAUAGCAGAUUUGGCAUCUCUGUAUUGGUAGAGAGCAGAUCGAAAAUAACAGAUUGGUGUUCCCGAGUUUUCAAGAAGCAAGUUGAAGAUAGCCAAUUUGACACUCCUGAAGACAUCAGAAUACCUUUAGGGAAGAUGAGGAUCAAGACUUUGAAACUUAGCCAGACCGGGCAAAUUUGGCCCUUUUAUGGUCUUUGCUCUAUUUUCGUUGUACGACAAUGAGCAAAGAGGGGCAGCUGUAAUGGGCCAAAUUCGUCCGGGCCCAACAACCAAAAACCAAAAUUAAAAAUAAAUAAAUAAAUAAAUAACCACAGUCCAUCAAUAAUAGUCCAUUAGCCCAAACUAGCCCAAACAAUUAAAAAACAACUAAUCUAAACCAAAUUGUUAAUAGUCCAAGUCUCUUUAUUACAUUAGCCCAAUACUCAUCAGCCCAAUUAACAAAUCCCUAACCCAGUUACAUGAUCCAUAGCCCAAAACUGAUAUUAACCUAGACCCAAAAAAUAAAGCCCGAUAGGCCUAAUCUUUUGAAAAUUCUUGGAAACCCUAACCCUAGCCCCAUUCGCUCAACGCCGCAAACCAGCCCCCUAGCACUGUACACUCCGUACCACCCUUGUACGCCUCCGUACGCCACCCUCGUGCCUCCACAUCGCCCCGUACCUGCAAACAAAAACAAACAAACGACGGCAGGACAACAGAAAUAGAAGCAAAAAGAAAAACAAUAGGAGGAAUUUCUUUGUAUUAUUUUCCUUUGAUUGCGGCUAUAAAGCCAUUCCUUUUUAUUGUAACUGAAGAUACGAACAGAUUCAACAAAAAAAGAGCAAUCAAAUAUAAAAAAACAAUCAAGGUGAUUUUCCGAUUCAAAUCUCGGAUUUCUUUUAGUUUCAUUCAUCUGGGUUUUGUAUUCAUAUAUUCGAAAGAAAAAAAAGGAGCUUACCUUCGUUUUUGGUUCCCUCGAAUCCUCACUGGCUUCGUUGCAAUCGGAGUUUGGGUGUUGAUUCUGAGACAUUUGAGCGUAGCCUUAGAUUUGUGGUUGGACGGAGCUGGAUUAGGCUUUAGCGUGAUGACCGGCGGCUAAACAUGGAGGCCAAACGGCAGUCCAAGGGCGCCUCUUGAUUCGAUCGAAUGAGAGGGGAAGGGAAGGGGCUUUAGGAUCUGUUUGGUUUUCUUUUCAAAUGGCCAAGAAUCAGUUUAGGGUUUGUUUAAAU
Molecule: long non-coding RNA, 1325 nt
Filed under: Gossypium barbadense (sea-island cotton)
Lineage: Eukaryota; Viridiplantae; Streptophyta; Magnoliopsida; Malvales; Malvaceae
Description: long non-coding RNA (GBAR_LNC009815)
Source: RNAcentral